UAUAAGUAUAGUUCUGCAUAUCCAAUAUUUGACUGUUCGUUUUAUUUGAAAUUUUUUUAUGAUUAGUAUUUUUGUUGUUAUUAGACGAUAAAACAUGAAUAGUACUUUAUGUGUGACUUUUUUCUAUUUUUUCAUAUUUUUUUAAUAAGACGGACGGUCAAACGUUGAAUACGGAUUUCCACGGCCGUACUUAUU
Oryza nivara is the source of this 195-nucleotide non-coding RNA. The record is from Rfam. Lineage: Eukaryota; Viridiplantae; Streptophyta; Magnoliopsida; Poales; Poaceae.